RNAcentral lists this long non-coding RNA (926 nucleotides) under Callithrix jacchus (white-tufted-ear marmoset). RNAcentral's name for it is "lncRNA (ENSCJAG00000074757.1)". Lineage: Eukaryota; Metazoa; Chordata; Mammalia; Primates; Cebidae. The record is from RNAcentral.
CUGCACAGUGUGUGUGUGUGUAGUGUGUAGUGCCGCAGAACUGUAUAGUGUGUGUGUGUGUAGUGCCACAGAACUGUAUAGUGUGUGUGUGUGUAGUGCCACAGAACUGCACAGUGUGUGUGAGUGUGUGUAGUGCCACAGAACUGCACAGUGUGUGUGUGUAGUGUGUAGUGCCACAGAACUGUAUAGUGUGUGUGUGUGUAGUGCCACAGAACUGUAUAGUGUGUGUGUGUGUGUAGUGCCACAGAACUGCACAGUGUGUGUGUGUGUGUAGUGCCACAGAACUGCACAGUGUGUGUGUGUGUGUGUAGUGCCACAGAACUGCACAGUGUGUGUGUGUGUGUGUAGUGCCACAGAACUGUAUAGUGUGUGUGUGUGUAGUGCCACAGAACUGUAUAGUGUGUGUGUGUGUAGCGCCACAGAACUGCACAGUGUGUGUGUGUGUAGUGCCACAGAACUGUAUAGUGUGUGUGUGUGUAGUGCCACAGAACUGUAUAGUGUGUGUGUGUAGUGCCACAGAACUGUAUAGUGUGUGUAGUGCCACAGAACUGCACAGUGUGUGUGUAGCGCCACAGAAUUGCACAGUGUGAGUGUGUGUAGCACCACAGAACUGCACAGUGUGUAGCACCACAGAACUGCACAGUGUGUGUGUGGUAGUGCCACAGAACUGUAUAGUGUGUGUGUGUGUAGUGCCACAGAACUGUAUAGUGUGUGUAGCGCCACAGAACUGCACAGUGUGUGUGUGUGUGUGUGUGUAGUGCCACAGAACUGUAUAGUGUGUGUAGCACCACAGAACUGCACAGUGUGUGUGUGUGUGUGUGUAGUGCCACAGAACUGUAUAGUGUGUGUGUGUGUAGUGCCACAGAACUGCACAGUGUGUGUGUGUGUGUGUGUAGCGCCACAGAACUGUAUAGUGUGUGUAGUGC